CGGGAUGGAGCAGCCCGGUAGCUCGUCAGGCUCAUAACCUGAAGGUCGUAGGUUCAAAUNAGAAACCGACAUACCGGCCA
This 80-nucleotide transfer RNA is filed under the name Sphingobium terrigena. RNAcentral describes it as "Sphingobium sp. EO9 tRNA-Met". The record is from RNAcentral. Lineage: Bacteria; Pseudomonadati; Pseudomonadota; Alphaproteobacteria; Sphingomonadales; Sphingobiaceae.